GAUGAACGCUGGCGGCGCGCCUAAUACAUGCAAGUCGAGCGAACAGAUGAGAAGCUUGCUUCUCUGAUGUUAGCGGCGGACGGGUGAGUAACACGUGGGUAACCUACCUAUAAGACUGGGAUAACUCCGGGAAACCGGGGCUAAUACCGGAUAAUAUUUUGAACCGCAUGGUUCAAUAGUGAAAGACGGUCUCGGCUGUCACUUAUAGAUGGACCCGCGCCGUAUUAGCUAGUUGGUAAGGUACCGGCUUACCAAGGCGACGAUACGUAGCCGACCUGAGAGGGUGAUCGGCCACACUGGAACUGAGACACGGUCCAGACUCCUACGGGAGGCAGCAGUAGGGAAUCUUCCGCAAUGGGCGAAAGCCUGACGGAGCAACGCCGCGUGAGUGAUGAAGGUCUUCGGAUCGUAAAACUCUGUUGUUAGGGAAGAACAAAUUUGUUAGUAACUGAACAAGUCUUGACGAUACCUAACCAGAAAGCCACGGCUAACUACGUGCCAGCAGCCGCCGUAA
Molecule: ribosomal RNA, 514 nt
Filed under: uncultured bacterium
Lineage: Bacteria
Description: partial 16S ribosomal RNA
Rfam family: Bacterial small subunit ribosomal RNA
Source: RNAcentral